GUCAGGUUGCGGAUACAGGAUUCCCUCCAGGUUCUGAGCUCUCGGCUGGCUCUGGAUGCUCCGAGGAGGACGUGGAUGGCAGCCGAGCUCUUCAAACCCAGUGGAUUUUCAGAUGUCAAGGAGAUCUGUGGUAAUUCAGUGACCACCAGGGGGCAUCAGGAUCUCUGGGUGUCCUGAAUAACCAAGCCUGCACUGAAUAAGGAUGAGGUUACCACAGAGCAUUGAAUAGAGUUCCCUAUGCAGUAUAUUCUCAUUUUCAAUCCUUAUGCCAUGGAAUUGAUGCUUUUGAACUGUGGUGUUGGAGAAGACUCUUGAGAGUCCCUUGAACUGUAAGG
This is a long non-coding RNA of Capra hircus (goat), 335 nucleotides long. RefSeq lists it as uncharacterized. Lineage: Eukaryota; Metazoa; Chordata; Mammalia; Artiodactyla; Bovidae. The record is from RefSeq and is a predicted model, not a curated record. The transcript is spliced from 3 exons.